AUCAGUUGUGUGGGGAGAAUGGAGGGAGCUGCGGCAGGCUAGUAAGGAUGGGUGUCGUACUUGGGAGGUGAACCAAGCUGUCGAAGCAAUGAUGGAACUCUUCAGAAGAACACACUGCAGCCUUCAAAACAGCAGCCCUGCUGGACUUCCCCAGGAACGACUGAUAGGGAAACAAAAUGAUUGCCAGGAUAGUAUGAACUGCAGACAGCCCAAGAUGUAAGUGAGGGAAGAAGACAAGAGCCCCACUGGCACACAGAGUUUCUCAAUGGACUACAUCACCACAUAGUUGCAUGCAGGCACAAAGGGCACGUCUCAUCUCUCAUUCACUGAAAAAUACCGAAAUGUCCAAGAACACGCCUAUGAACUAUGUAUUGCAACAACCAGCCUCCAAGAGAUGACAGUAAUCAAUUCUACAGAAGAAAUCUCAAGCUCCUGCAUCAGACAGUUAAAUAAGAACUGCAGAAAACCAUUUUAGUAUAUUCUUCAGUACCAGUUCCAACAGCUGACAUACGUUUUCUGAAUAGCAAUGUGUUCCACCUCCUCUCUCAACCUCAGUAAGUUCUUGACUGCAACACACCUAUAAAAGCAACAAGUUCUCCAGGCAACUUGCAUAUACUGCGCUUUCCUUCUUCAGGAUGAAACAUGAAAGUCUUUCAGCAAUUAGCCUUGCACAAUCAGAAUCAAAAGAUUGAGCUGACAUGGGCUGUUCCGGCAAAUCAAAAGCUGUAUGUGUGGCAAGAAAAAGCAACAUCCUAUGAAACAUCAGUAGUAGCAACAGAAGAGGGGACAAAAACAUCUCUUUUUGAAGGAACACAAUUUUCUGCAGUUGCUAUACCAAAAGGGUGCAACUUCAAUAGUGGAAUUAAAGCUUACUGAGAUGGCUACUGCAUUUUAAACCUGUUCUGCUACCUCUCAUUGACCCUUCUCCUAUGAAACAUCAGUACUUGAUCAAAUGUCUUACAUCUAUGGUGAGAUUAUAAGAGUAUACAUUGAGAAAUGCAUCAUUUCUGGGAGAAACCUGGUAAUAUCAAACCUGGUUAUCAGAACACCCCUCUCACCUACAAAAUAUGGAUUGGAAUACUUCUCAACAACACUAGUUGGCCACUUAAAACAUGAAGAAAAAAAGCAGCAUAGGACAUAGAGAGCUAUUUUCUCUAUUGUGCAAGAAAAUUAAAGCUGCAAUCACUAUUAGGAAAGCACAUGUUUGGAAAUAGUCAGGGAAAGAUCAAAAGAAAUCUACAUACAAAACAGGCAGAAGCAUAUUACCAAGACCAGUUUAGGCUGAUGCUUGCCUGCUGAUUGAAUUCAUACACCUUUUGAUUACUCCAGAGAGCCUGUAUCAACACAGUCUCAUCCUUCACAUUGUGGAAUGUUGCCUUGAUGAAUUAGUUUUCUGACCUGCCUGUCUACAUCUCUAUUAAAUCAACAGAAGAGGUUGCAAGCU
Hemicordylus capensis (graceful crag lizard) is the source of this 1444-nucleotide long non-coding RNA. RefSeq lists it as uncharacterized. Lineage: Eukaryota; Metazoa; Chordata; Lepidosauria; Squamata; Cordylidae. The transcript has 2 exons. The record is from RefSeq and is a predicted model, not a curated record.